CCCUUAGAUGUCCUGGGCCGCACGCGUGCUACACUGACGCCUACAGCGAGUACUUCCCAGCCCCGAGAGGCGGCUGGUAAUCAGCAAUAGGCGUCGUGAUGGGGAUAGAUCUUUGGAAUUAUGGAUCUUGAACGAGGAAUUCCCAGUAAGUGCAAGUCAUAAGCUUGCGCUGACUACGUCCCUGCCCUUUGUACACACCGCCCGUCGCUACUACCGAUUGAAUGAUUUAGUGAGGACUUCGGACUGGGACCGAUGCGGCUUUCGGGCUGCGUCGGUAUUCUGGAAAGAUGUCCAAACUGUAUCAUUUAGAGGAAGUAAAAGUCGUAACA
RNAcentral lists this ribosomal RNA (329 nucleotides) under uncultured eukaryote. RNAcentral describes it as "partial 18S ribosomal RNA". It matches the Rfam family "Eukaryotic small subunit ribosomal RNA", at positions 1470 to 1796 of the family's 1831-position model. The record is from RNAcentral.